Molecule: long non-coding RNA, 152 nt
Filed under: Monodelphis domestica (gray short-tailed opossum)
Lineage: Eukaryota; Metazoa; Chordata; Mammalia; Didelphimorphia; Didelphidae
Description: lncRNA (ENSMODG00000048640.1)
Source: RNAcentral
AAAACAACCCACUGAGGGAUCCAGAUAUCUUCAUGAAGUUAUGUUUUUCCACUGAGUUUUCCCCAGAUCUUCUGAGAAAAUAUGGUGGUGUAGUGUCAAAAAUCAUACUUCCCAUUAAUAUUAAAGGUAUUGGACAUAUUGAUAUAAAAUAA